RNAcentral lists this ribosomal RNA (468 nucleotides) under uncultured bacterium. Its description in RNAcentral is "partial 16S ribosomal RNA". It matches the Rfam family "Bacterial small subunit ribosomal RNA", at positions 28 to 507 of the family's 1533-position model. The record is from RNAcentral.
GACGAACGCUGGCGGCGUGCUUAACACAUGCAAGUCGAACGGAAAGGCCCUGCUUUUGUGGGGUGCUCGAGUGGCGAACGGGUGCGUAACACGUGAGUAACCUGCCCUUGACUUUGGGAUAACUUCAGGAAACUGGGGCUAAUAUCGGAUAGGAGCUCCUGCUGCAUGGUGGGGGGUGGAAAGUUUCGGCUGUUGGGGAUGGACUCGCGGCUUAUCGGCUUGUUGGUGGGGGAGUGGCUGACCAAGGAUUUGAAGGGUAGCCGGCCUGGGAGGGUGACCGGCGACAUUGGUACUGCGGGACGGCCCAGACGCCAACGGGAGGCAGCAGGGGGAAAUAUUGCACAAUGGGCGGAAGUGUGAGGCAGCGGCGCCGGGUGCGGGAUGACGGCCUUCGGGGUGAGAACCGCUUUCGCCUGUGACGAAGCGUGAGUGACGGUAAUGGGUAAAGAAGCACCGGCUAACUACGUG